This 372-nucleotide ribosomal RNA is filed under the name Staphylococcus aureus. Its description in RNAcentral is "bacterial SSU rRNA". It matches the Rfam family "Bacterial small subunit ribosomal RNA", at positions 1013 to 1385 of the family's 1533-position model. The record is from RNAcentral. Lineage: Bacteria; Bacillati; Bacillota; Bacilli; Caryophanales; Staphylococcaceae.
UUCCCCUUCGGGGGACAAAGUGACAGGUGGUGCAUGGUUGUCGUCAGCUCGUGUCGUGAGAUGUUGGGUUAAGUCCCGCAACGAGCGCAACCCUUAAGCUUAGUUGCCAUCAUUAAGUUGGGCACUCUAAGUUGACUGCCGGUGACAAACCGGAGGAAGGUGGGGAUGACGUCAAAUCAUCAUGCCCCUUAUGAUUUGGGCUACACACGUGCUACAAUGGACAAUACAAAGGGCAGCGAAACCGCGAGGUCAAGCAAAUCCCAUAAAGUUGUGCUCAGUUCGGAUUGUAGUCUGCAACUCGACUACAUGAAGCUGGAAUCGCUAGUAAUCGUAGAUCAGCAUGCUACGGUGAAUACGUUCCCGGGUCUUGUA